Long non-coding RNA from Oncorhynchus keta (chum salmon), 2728 nucleotides. RefSeq lists it as uncharacterized. The transcript has 4 exons. Lineage: Eukaryota; Metazoa; Chordata; Actinopteri; Salmoniformes; Salmonidae. The record is from RefSeq and is a predicted model, not a curated record.
GAGAGGGAACGAGAUGAAUGACUACAGGAUGACUUGACGUGUGUGUAUAACAUGCCUGCUGUCCAUGAGAGAGAGGACCUACAUGGAGAGGGAAUGAAUGGUACUUAGCCUAUAGAGGGACUGUUUACAGUACAUGAGUGGUAGAGAUGGAUUGAAAGAGCCUGAGAGGGAUGACUUGAGCGAGCAUAGAGGGAACUAUUAAUGUAAUGUUCUGUCGUGAGAUUGAAUGUGUGGUUUGUGAGUGGGUGGUUGUGUUGUGUACUUUGUGUUGAGCUGUGCCCUGGCUGCUUCAUGAGCAUGGUGACAAGUGGGAGCCAAGGGGGUGACUAUUGAGUGGGUACAGUUGGUCUGCACUCCCAAAGCCCCCUCAAUGUUUUUUUGUCUCUCUCUCUCUCUGUGUCCCAGGCAGCACAAAGCCUCUGUUUGGCCUAAUUGCAACGUAAUGUCCUUAAGCCCCGAACAGGCAAGCCAGUUAAAGGGUUGAACAAAGCAUCUGGUCCAGCCUUACCCUGCCAGCCUCAGAAGUGGUCCUGAAAGAAGUAAUGGAGAGAUGGAGUUUUCAAUAGCUGCGUGAAGGCUAAGACUCAGCUUGUGUGGAUAGAGGCAGGAGAGAGAGAAUGCUAUGCAGUCAGUGAUUGGCUAAUAUGUGCCUGCAUUGAGGAAGAGAGGGGGGUGCUGCUGGAGCGUGCGUUUUGUGUGGUAGAGAGCGAGCUAGAGACGGGAUAGCCAGGAAAUGUUUUUUUUUUAAAGGGUAGAAGUGUAUUCUUUACAUGUUGACUUUGUUACUUUUGUGGCAUUUAUCCGGGUGGCUGGGAUGUUUAAGCUGUACGAUGGCUGAAACCAAGGCAUAUGACAGGUUAUGGUAAAGAUUUUAAGUAUUUAAAAUGUUCUGCACUGGUAGACUUCUAUGAGAGUUGAGAUUCAAUUACAUUUAAAUUAUUUCUUUGCCUUUUUUAUAUCCUGUUAUAAAGGAGUUAAACAUUAUGCCACUAUACUUUAUUUUUUGGCUAUAUUAGCUCUACUCUUAUAUGCUGCUGUGAGUAGUAAAUAUUGCACUCCUGUUUAGAGUUUAGAAAAGAUGAGUGGCCCAAUGUCACACUGCAGUCCAAACCAGGCCAGCCAACCAGCGGUGACUAUGAGGAGAGCAGUCGCCAGCUCCAAUACACUACCUACUGAACGGCACCAUGCAGCCACAUCAGCAGCAUGCCUCAGUGGAAGUCAUCCCCUACCCAGCCAUCCGUGUAGCCAAAGUAAUCAGAGAUGUGAUUUUUCAGGUUUCUAGAAUCAGGCGUAUCUUAGAUCUUUGCUGUGGAUCAUUAGAUUUGUUGAUGACCUUUUUCCCCCUCUGAUUGUUAUGUUGUGGUGAUCAAACCCUUGACAAAUUAGACCGUAAAAGAUGGUGAUAGGACUGUCUGUGUAGACCCACUGAACCGCACAGCUCCACAUACUGCUCCGGAUGUAAAAACCAUCCUCAGAUCUGUGUGUGUGUGUGGAACAAUAUGGCCAGUGUUCUGUCUGUGCUGGGGACAAUCGUUAAGCACUGUCUGUAGUUUCACAAAGGGUGCAUCAACACCAACCUGUAAAGCACCAUUCAAUUGAUCUGAUUCAGCUCUGAGGCAAAACAGGUCUAUAAUGACACAUGGAUUAAAGACACAACAGGGCCACUGACCGACCUGUGAGUGUGUGUCAUCAAAUGUUUGUUUGUCACGUGCCAAAUAAAACAGGUAUUGACCUUACUGUGAAAUACUUACUUACAAGCUCUUAACCAACAGUGCAGUUCAAGAAAUAGAGUUUAAUCAAAUAUUUAGUAAAUAAAAUAAAAGGUAACAGUAGAAUUGCAUAACAAUAAUGCGGCUAUACAGGGGGUCCGGUACUGAGUUAAUGUGCGGGGUAUAGGUUAGUCAGGCUAUAUACAGGGGGCCCGGUACUGAGUUAAUGUGCGGGGUAUAGGUUAGUCAGGCUAUAUACAGGGGGCCCAGUACUGAGUUAAUGUGCGGGGUAUAGGUUAGUCAGGCUAUAUACAGGGGGCCCAGUACUGAGUUAAUGUGCGGGGUAUAGGUUAGUCAGGCUAUAUACAGGGGGCCCAGUACUGAGUUAAUGUGCGGGGUAUAGGUUAGUCAGGCUAUAUACAGGGGGCCCAGUACUGAGUUAAUGUGCAGGGUAUAGGUUAGUCAGGCUAUAUACAGGGGGCCCGGUACUGAGUUAAUGUGCGGGGUAUAGGUUAGUCAGGCUAUAUACAGGGGGCCCGGUACUGAGUUAAUGUGCGGGGUAUAGGUUAGUCAGGCUAUAUACAGGGGGCCCGGUACUGAGUUAAUGUGCGGGGUAUAGGUUAGUCAGGCUAUAUACAGGGGGCCCGGUACUGAGUUAAUGUGCAGGGUAUAGGUUAGUCAGGCUAUAUACAGGGGGCCCGGUACUGAGUUAAUGUGCUGGGUAUAGGUUAGUCAGGCUAUAUACAGGGGGCCCGGUACUGAGUUAAUGUGCGGGGUAUAGGUUAGUCAGGCUAUAUACAGGGGGUCCGGUACUGAGUUAAUGUGCGGGGUAUAGGUUAGUCAGGCUAUAUACAGGGGGCCCGGUACUGAGUUAAUGUGCGGGGUAUAGGUUAGUCAGGCUAUAUACAGGGGGCCCGGUACUGAGUUAAUGUGCGGGGUAUAGGUUAGUCAGGCUAUAUACAGGGGGCCCGGUACUGAGUUAAUGUGCGGGGUAUAGGUUAGUCAGGCUAUAUACAGGG